AGCAACAUGGCGCAGAGGAAGCGCGCGGGGCUCAUAACCCCGAGGUCACUCGAUCGAAACGAGUUGUUGCUA
Molecule: transfer RNA, 72 nt
Organism: Pisolithus microcarpus 441
Lineage: Eukaryota; Fungi; Basidiomycota; Agaricomycetes; Boletales; Pisolithaceae
Rfam family: tRNA
About the family: Transfer RNA (tRNA) molecules are approximately 80 nucleotides in length.
Source: Rfam